UUGGAGGGCAAGUCUGGUGCCAGCAGCCGCGGUAAUUCCAGCUCCAAUAGCGUAUAUUAAAGUUGUUGCAGUUAAAAAGCUCGUAGUUGAAUUUCGGGAUUAGUACGUCGGUCGUACCUUAGGUACGUACUGGUGUUACUGGUUCCUACCUUCUGACGAACCAUCAUGUCAUUAAUUUGGUGUGGUGGGGAAUCAGGACUGUUACUUUGAAAAAAUUAGAGUGUUUAAAGCAGGCUCGCGCUUGAAUACAUUAGCAUGGAAUAAUGAAAUAGGACGUUG
This 279-nucleotide ribosomal RNA is filed under the name uncultured Glomus. RNAcentral's name for it is "partial 18S ribosomal RNA". It matches the Rfam family "Eukaryotic small subunit ribosomal RNA", at positions 548 to 832 of the family's 1831-position model. Lineage: Eukaryota; Fungi; Glomeromycota; Glomeromycetes; Glomerales; Glomeraceae. The record is from RNAcentral.